RNAcentral lists this ribosomal RNA (322 nucleotides) under uncultured bacterium. RNAcentral describes it as "bacterial SSU rRNA". It matches the Rfam family "Bacterial small subunit ribosomal RNA", at positions 775 to 1094 of the family's 1533-position model. The record is from RNAcentral.
GGAUUAGAAACCCCGGUAGUCCACGCCGUAAACGAUGGGCACUAGGUGUGGGAGGUGUCGACUCCUCCCGUGCCGGAGCUAACGCAUUAAGUGCCCCGCCUGAGGAGUACGGUCGCAAGACUGAAACUCAAAGGAAUUGACGGGGGCCUGCACAAGCGGUGGAGCAUGUGGUUUAAUUCGAAGCAACGCGAAGAACCUUACCAGGUCUUGACAUCCUCUGACAAUCCUAGAGAUAGGACGUCCCCUUCGGGGGGCAGAGUGACAGGUGGUGCAUGGUUGUCGUCAGCUCGUGUCGUGAGAUGUUGGGUUAAGUCCCGCAACG